AACGAACGCUGGCGGCAUGCCUAACACAUGCAAGUCGAACGAGACCUUCGGGUCUAGUGGCGCACGGGUGCGUAACGCGUGGGAACCUGCCCUUAGGUUCGGAAUAACUCCCCGAAAGGGGUGCUAAUACCGGAUAAUGUCUUCGGACCAAAGAUUUAUGGCCGUUGGAUGGGCCCGCGUUGGAUUAGCUGGUUGGUAGGGUAAAAGCCUACCAAGGCGACGAUGCAUAGCUGGUCUGAGAGGAUGAUCCGCCACACUGGGACUGAGACACGGCCCAGACUCCUACGGGAGGGAGCAGUGGGGAAUAUUGGAGAAUGGGGGAAAGCCUGACCAAGCAGUGCCGGGGGAGUGAUGAAGGCGUUAGGGUUGUAAAGCCCUUUUACCCGAGAUGAUAAUGACAGUACCGGGAGAAUAAGCUCCGGCUAACUACGUG
This 433-nucleotide ribosomal RNA is filed under the name uncultured bacterium. RNAcentral's name for it is "partial 16S ribosomal RNA". It matches the Rfam family "Bacterial small subunit ribosomal RNA", at positions 29 to 507 of the family's 1533-position model. The record is from RNAcentral.